GCUGGCGGCAGGCCUAACACAUGCAAGUCGAGCGGUAACAUUUCUAGCUUGCCAGAAGAUGACGAGCGGCGGACGGGUGAGUAACGCGUAAAAAUCUACCUAGUAGUGGGGGAUAGCCCAGAGAAAUUUGGAUUAAUACCGCAUACGCCCUACGGGGGAAAGCCGGGGGAUCUUCGGACCUCGUGCUAUUAGAUGAGUCUGCGUCGGAUUAGCUUGUUGGUGAGGUAAUGGCUCACCAAGGCGACGAUCCGUAGCUGGUCUGAGAGGAUGACCAGCCACACUGGAACUGAGACACGGUCCAGACUCCUACGGGAGGCAGCAGUGGGGAAUAUUGCACAAUGGGCGCAAGCCUGAUGCAGCCAUGCCGCGUGUGUGAAGAAGGCCUUAGGGUUGUAAAGCACUUUCAGCAGUGAGGAAAGGGGUGUCGUUAAUAGCGCCAUCCUGUGACGUUAACUGCAGAAGAAGGACCGGCUAACUCCGUG
Molecule: ribosomal RNA, 482 nt
Filed under: uncultured bacterium
Lineage: Bacteria
Description: bacterial SSU rRNA
Rfam family: Bacterial small subunit ribosomal RNA
Source: RNAcentral